AGUGGCGGACGGGUGAGUAACACGUAGGAAUCUGCCCUAAAGAGGGGGACAACCCGAGGAAACUCGGGCUAAUACCGCAUAAUCUCUUUGGAGGAAAGGCUGGGGCAACCUGGCGCUUUAGGAGGAGCCUGCGUCCGAUUAGCUAGUUGGUGGGGUAAAAGCCUACCAAGGCGAUGAUCGGUAGCUGGUCUGAGAGGAUGAUCAGCCACACUGGGACUGAGACACGGCCCAGACUCCUACGGGAGGCAGCAGUGGGGAAUAUUGGACAAUGGGGGCAACCCUGAUCCAGCAAUGCCGCGUGUGUGAAGAAGGCCUUCGGGUUGUAAAGCACUUUAGGCGGGGAAGAAGAUAUGGAGUUUAAGAGAUGCCAUAUUUGACGGUACCCGCAGAAUAAGCACCGGCUAACUCUGUGCCAGCAGCCGCGGUAAUACAGAGGGUGCGAGCGUUAAUCGGAUUUACUGGGCGUAAAGGGCGCGUAGGUGGUUUGGUAAGUGAGAUGUGAAAUCCCUGGGCUUAACCUAGGAACUGCAUCUUA
RNAcentral lists this ribosomal RNA (535 nucleotides) under uncultured bacterium. RNAcentral's name for it is "bacterial SSU rRNA". It matches the Rfam family "Bacterial small subunit ribosomal RNA", at positions 94 to 630 of the family's 1533-position model. The record is from RNAcentral.